RNAcentral lists this long non-coding RNA (1018 nucleotides) under Zostera marina. RNAcentral's name for it is "long non-coding RNA (ZMAR_LNC001437)". The record is from RNAcentral. Lineage: Eukaryota; Viridiplantae; Streptophyta; Magnoliopsida; Alismatales; Zosteraceae.
AGGCGAAUAAGUAAAUAUUAGAAAUAUAACUGACCUCAUGCACUUUUUAUUGUCAUCUAACAACUGAAUUUUCUUUAAAGAAAAAACCGAUCAUCAACAAAAAAAACAAGUGUAUUUAUUAUCUAUCAUCCGAUAAUGACAUGAUAUAGAAAAUUAUACAAAGAAACCAGCGUCUACUGACUUCAUAUGAAGAGAUAAAUCAACCCAUGAAGUUGAAGGGGGAUUGGUAGGCAAAGAUACUCUGGAAAAAGGUAAAAUAAAAUUACAAAAAGUUAUUUUAGAAUAAUAUCACAAAUGCAAAUAUUUAAAUCAGUUUACCACUACUCAUUGUUCAUCAACACCAUCAUCGACAUCCAACGUCGUUGAUCCCAAAUUCACAUCCAUGAUUCCACAUCCUACAAAAUGUGCAUUCAAGUUAAAAUUUUAUAAUUUAUUGUUGACCAUUAAUUAUAUACAGUUAGGAACUUUGGAUCAAUCCCUUCCAACAUGCAAUUGAGCAAUCUAGACAACAUAUCUCCCCUUAGUAUAUGGCAGUCUUCAGAACAUGCAUGAUACACACUGAUAGUACAAGGUCCAACACACAGACCAUAGUACUAAAAGACGUAUCCCAAGGUAUCUAAUACGCAGAGGAAGGGGGAGUACUGGUGAUACAGUAUCCCGAACCCAGUCAUAACCUACCAGCAACUAGAAGUCCGGAUAGCUAAGAUGAGUUAAGGUGCCUAUUCUAGGGUUGGGGAGGUCCCAAGUCGAAUCCUAGGAAGAUCGACUUUCCUGAGGAUCGACUUCCCUGGGAUCGACUUCUGAAUAAAGUCGAUCACCAGGAAAGUCGACUCCCAGAAAGUCGAUCUCUGGAAAGUCGAUCUCUGGCCCCAAUCUGAUCAGUUAGGCAGUUAGGCGGUUACUGUCCAAAUAACCAGAUUACCCCCAUAAGAACCCCUAUAAAUAGGAGGCAUCCCCCACUCAUUAAAGGCAGGUCAUUUAGAGCGAAAGGAUUCCUAGCGAAGCAGAGCUCUGCGCA